RNAcentral lists this ribosomal RNA (253 nucleotides) under uncultured bacterium. RNAcentral's name for it is "partial 16S ribosomal RNA". It matches the Rfam family "Bacterial small subunit ribosomal RNA", at positions 524 to 776 of the family's 1533-position model. The record is from RNAcentral.
UACAGAGGUCUCAAGCGUUGUUCGGAUUCAUUGGGCGUAAAGGGUGCGUAGGCGGCGCGGUAAGUCGGGUGUGAAAUCUCGGAGCUUAACUCCGAAACUGCAUUCGAUACUGCCGUGCUUGAGGACUGGAGAGGAGACUGGAAUUUACGGUGUAGCGGUGAAAUGCGUAGAUAUCGUAAGGAAGACCAGUGGCGAAGGCGGGUCUCUGGGCCGAUACUGACGCUGAGGAGCGAAAGCGUGGGGAGCGAACAGG